RNAcentral lists this ribosomal RNA (256 nucleotides) under uncultured Stenotrophomonas sp. RNAcentral describes it as "partial 16S ribosomal RNA". It matches the Rfam family "Bacterial small subunit ribosomal RNA", at positions 97 to 355 of the family's 1533-position model. The record is from RNAcentral. Lineage: Bacteria; Pseudomonadati; Pseudomonadota; Gammaproteobacteria; Lysobacterales; Lysobacteraceae.
GGCGGACGGGUGAGGAAUACAUCGGAAUCUACUCUGUCGUGGGGGAUAACGUAGGGAAACUUACGCUAAUACCGCAUACGACCUACGGGUGAAAGCAGGGGAUCUUCGGACCUUGCGCGAUUGAAUGAGCCGAUGUCGGAUUAGCUAGUUGGCGGGGUAAAGGCCCACCAAGGCGACGAUCCGUAGCUGGUCUGAGAGGAUGAUCAGCCACACUGGAACUGAGACACGGUCCAGACUCCUACGGGAGGCAGCAGUC